AAAAAGACAAACCCUGGUUUUCAUGUCCAACGUUUGACCGUCCGUCUUAUUUAAAAAAAUUAUGAAAAAAAAUUAAAAAGACAAGUCACACAUAAAGUAUUAAUAAUAUUUUUUUAUUUAAAAGAAUUAUAAAAAAAUUUCAUACAAGACGGACAGUUAAAAUUGGACACGAAAAUAUAGGGUUUGUUUUUUU
Molecule: microRNA precursor, 193 nt
Filed under: Oryza nivara
Lineage: Eukaryota; Viridiplantae; Streptophyta; Magnoliopsida; Poales; Poaceae
Description: MIR812 microRNA precursor family
Rfam family: MIR812 microRNA precursor family
Source: Rfam by way of RNAcentral